AUUGAACGCUGGCGGAAUGCUUUACACAUGCAAGUCGAACGGAAGCACGGACUUCGGUCUGGUGGCGAGUGGCGAACGGGUGAGUAAUGUAUCGGAACGUGCCCAGUCGUGGGGGAUAACGUAGUGAAAAUUACGCUAAUACCGCAUACGAUCUAUGGAUGAAAGCGGGGGAUCGCAAGACCUCGCGCGAUUGGAGCGGCCGAUAUCAGAUUAGGUAGUUGGUGGGGUAAAGGCCCACCAAGCCAACGAUCUGUAGCUGGUCUGAGAGGACGACCAGCCACACUGGAACUGGGACACGGGCCAGACUCCUACGGGAGGCAGCAGUGGGGAAUUUUGGACAAUGGGCGAAAGCCUGAUCCAGCCAUUCCGCUUGCAGGAUGAAGGCCCUCGGGUUGUAAACUGCUUUUGUACAGAACGAAAAGGUUUCUACUAAUACUAGGAGCUCAUGACGGUACUGUAAGAAUAAGCACCGGCUAACUACGUGCCAGCCGCCGCAGUAA
RNAcentral lists this ribosomal RNA (500 nucleotides) under uncultured bacterium. RNAcentral's name for it is "partial 16S ribosomal RNA". It matches the Rfam family "Bacterial small subunit ribosomal RNA", at positions 30 to 523 of the family's 1533-position model. The record is from RNAcentral.